This is a long non-coding RNA of Dromaius novaehollandiae (emu), 1354 nucleotides long. RefSeq lists it as uncharacterized. The transcript has 2 exons. NCBI's taxonomy places the organism in Eukaryota, Metazoa, Chordata, Aves, Casuariiformes, Dromaiidae. The record is from RefSeq and is a predicted model, not a curated record.
CUCUGCUCAGCUCAGCUCAGCCCGGCGCGGCGGCAGCGGCGGCGGUGCCCGGCGCGGGGGAAGGGGCCGGAGCGCGGCGCGGCCGCCGGGGCCUUUUAUCCCCACCCCCGCCGCGGGCGGUGAAGGUCGGUCAGGACCGGGGAACUGUCCAGCCGCCGCCGAUUGGCGGCCGCCCGGGCUCCCCCCGCUGCCCAUUGGCUGCGGCGCGAGGACGGGGCCCUGCACCAUUGUGUGCGUCACGGGAGGCAAAGUUCCAAGAAACUUGGCUGCCGGCGCGGAGUCCCCGAGAUGUCGCGGCGGGGGGGGGGCGGGGCCGCGGCGCCGGGGGGCGGAGCCUCUGCGCCGGGGGGCCCGCGGCGCGGGGCGGAGGGGCGCGAGAUGCCGCGGUCUGGGGGCCUGCGGUGGGGCCAGGUGCCAGCGCCGCGGCUGCGGGCUCUCGGUCGUCUCCCAGGUGGUGACAUUCGCCUGCCGUCUGUCUGGCCGCCAGCCGCUCGCCGGGCUGCAGCCCAGGAGGCUGGUGCUCGCUCGCGGCGGCCCUGGCACGCGGGGUACGGUGCGCACCCGCACCGGCCUCCUCGUUGACCGCAAGUGGUGGGACCUGCUGCUCCCUUGCCGAGGAGGAAACGCUUCACUCGGUGAAGCCUCCUCUGACCCCCCGCGGGGAAAAGCGGCCCCAGAGGAACAACUGCUCCUUUUGCCAGGCGUUCGCUGACCUGCCGUUCAGCCAGGAGAACAACGCUCGAGUUAUGCUGCCUUUUGUUCGCCUGUUUCUUCCCCACUCGUGCCAGCGUGGUGACAGGCGCGGAGGCCACGCGGGAAGACGAGCGGCGCAGGGUAACGCGCCACCGCCGCCUCCAGAGCUGCUCGACCCCGCGCGGGUCAGCCGUGGCGCAGAAAGUCGUCUUUCAUCAUUCAGGUCCGAUUCCGGAUGAAAAGUCAUUAAAGGCGGCUGCUUCCUCCGCUUCCCGCUAGCUCCGGGGCACCGGCACUGCAGUCGCAUCUGAUUACUUCGAGCCCUGGAUAAUUUGUACCGAAUCUCGGGAUCGAAAUAAAUGGUUUGAGGGCCGGUUCUGCCGCGCUUGUGUUGCGUUUGAGCCCAAAGGCAAGGGAUUAGUUUAAUCCAGAACCAAAUUUGCCUUUGCUGGCUCCGCUUUGCAAAAUGUGUUUGUCCAAUCCAUUGGAAGCACGUGCAUUUCUGUAGAAACACAGCCUGUUUGCUGACCGUGCCGCGCUGGAGAGAAAGCAUUGCGUUUGCCCAGGAAAUCUCUCACAGCGUGCCUGGCACUAACGAUGAAACGUGAUGUCCUAGAGAGGUCUGAAUUCUCUUACGGCAUAUAUAUAUUUUACGUACGAA